This 257-nucleotide long non-coding RNA is filed under the name Nicotiana tabacum (common tobacco). RNAcentral's name for it is "long non-coding RNA (NTAB_LNC000785)". Lineage: Eukaryota; Viridiplantae; Streptophyta; Magnoliopsida; Solanales; Solanaceae. The record is from RNAcentral.
CCCGUAGCCAUCAUCAUAAGCAGCCAUUUCUCCAACAUCCGAAACCAUAUCUCCCACCAACAAACCACCAAGCAAACCAGCACCCAAUCCCAAACCUAAUCCACCUCCCAUUCCACCAAACUUGUUCUUUUUCUUAGGUUGUUGCACCGGUGGAUAUCCGUAUCCAGGUUGUUGUACGGGUGGAUACCCGUAACCAGAUUGUGGUUGCGGGUAUCCAUAACCAGGUGCACCACCAGCAGGUGGGUAUCCAGUGUGUG